UGGGGGAUAUUGCACAAUGGGCGAAAGCCUGAUGCAGCGACGCCGCGUGGGGGAUGAAGGCUUUCGGGUUGUAAACCUCUUUCGCUAUCGAACAAGGCCCGCUUAGGGUGGGUUGAGGGUAGGUGGAGAAGAAGCGCCGGCUAACUACGUGCCAGCAGCCGCGGUAAUACGUAGGGCGCGAGCGUUGUCCGGAAUUAUUGGGCGUAAAGGGCUUGUAGGCGGCUUGUUGCGCCUGCUGUGAAAACGCGGGGCUUAACUUCGCGCGUGCAGUCGGUACGGGCAGGCUUGAGUGUGGUAGGGGUGACUGGAAUUCCAGGUGUAGCGGUGGAAUGCGCAGAUAUCUGGAGGAACACCGAUGGCGAAGGCAGGUCACUGGGCCAUUACUGACGCUGAGGAGCGAAAGCAUGGGUAGCGAACAGG
This 420-nucleotide ribosomal RNA is filed under the name bacterium. Its description in RNAcentral is "partial 16S ribosomal RNA". It matches the Rfam family "Bacterial small subunit ribosomal RNA", at positions 355 to 776 of the family's 1533-position model. The record is from RNAcentral.